This 464-nucleotide ribosomal RNA is filed under the name uncultured bacterium. Its description in RNAcentral is "partial 16S ribosomal RNA". It matches the Rfam family "Bacterial small subunit ribosomal RNA", at positions 339 to 795 of the family's 1533-position model. The record is from RNAcentral.
CUACGGGUCGCAGCAGUCGAGAAUUUUUCUCAAUGGGGGAAACCCUGAAGGAGCGACGCCGCGUGGGGGAUGAAGGGCUUCGGCUCGUAAACCCCUGUCAUUUGUGAGCAAGUGUUAUUGUUUAAGAGAUGAUGACAUUGAUAGUAGCAAAAGAGGAAGGGACGGCUAACUCUGUGCCAGCAGCCGCGGUAAUACAGAGGUCCCAAGCGUUGUUCGGAAUCACUGGGCGUAAAGGGUGCGUAGGCGGUAUGGUAAGACUUGGGUGAAAUCUCCAUGCUUAACGUGGAGGGAGCCUGGGAGACUGCCGUGCUAGAGGAUUGGAAGGGAGACUGGAAUUCUUGGAGUAGCAGUGAGAUGCGUAGAUAUCAAGAGGAACACCAGUGGCGGAGGCGAGUCUCUGGACAAGACCUGACGCUGAGGCACGAAGGCCAGGGGAUCAAACGGGAUUAGAUACCCUAGUAGUC